UUCCACGGAUUAUAAGCAAGGUGAAAAUAAAAAUCAAAAGCUGGUUGAACCAGCUUCAGAUUCUCACGGGUAAAACGCGGACUGCAAUUUGACUUAAAUGUCUAAGUGUUAUGAAAUAUUGACCCUUAUACCACCUAUAUAUAUUCUUUUUUUUUUGCCCUAUCUCUCUUUGGCAAGAGAUCAGCAGCAACGCAGCAGCAAGUUGCGACACUGGUUCAGUUCCGGAGACGUGAAGCUCUGGUUUGUUUCCGGCGUUGGUUUGCUUCCGGCGACGUGCGGCUCUGAUUCGUUUCCGACUCUGGAUCUGUUUCUCUGUUCCUCUCUUUCCGACUCUGAGGAAGAUGGACCGGUUGAGUUGCACGAACGUGAGGUUACGAGACCGAGGAGUGAAAAAGGAUUGAGAUCAUGUAUCGGGAUCAUGAAUACUGGGUUUUGAAGGGAUUCUAUCUAGGGUUUCGAGCGCGAUGGCGUUGAAUGCGCCCUACCUGUUGAAGCUCUUCCUAAGGUUAGUCCUCUCGUCACUACCGCCCCUCUGGUCUCAUCCUCUCUCUCUCUCUCUCUCUCUCUCUAUUGCUCCAUCAGAUUUGGUCUCAAACACAUGAUUUACUAUCUUCCUCGCUCUUCGAUCUGGCCUCUCUUUAGUCAAAUUGUACUCUUUUUAAUCUUUUCAGUUGCUAUUUUUGGUCUACUCUCUUUUCAAUAGAAUCUCAUUCACUUUGCUCUUUCUGUAUUUCAAUCUCAUUAGUUUCAAUUUUUUCAAUCUAUGUUUGUAUAUUGGUAGAACAUAAUUUUAUGUAUUUCUAAUGAACAUAUGUAAUUAGAAUAUGUUAUUCCUUUUUGUCUUGAAGGAAGAACAAUAGAAUCCUUGAAUUUUUAUUUUA
Molecule: non-coding RNA, 881 nt
Organism: Camellia sinensis
Lineage: Eukaryota; Viridiplantae; Streptophyta; Magnoliopsida; Ericales; Theaceae
Source: RefSeq, a predicted model, not a curated record